This 495-nucleotide ribosomal RNA is filed under the name uncultured bacterium. RNAcentral's name for it is "partial 16S ribosomal RNA". It matches the Rfam family "Bacterial small subunit ribosomal RNA", at positions 28 to 507 of the family's 1533-position model. The record is from RNAcentral.
GACGAACGCUGGCGGCGUGCCUAAUACAUGCAAGUAGAACGCUGAAGGAGGAGCUUGCUCUUCUGGAUGAGUUGCGAACGGGUGAGUAACGCGUAGGUAACCUGCCUGGUAGCGGGGGAUAACUAUUGGAAACGAUAGCUAAUACCGCAUAAGAGUAGAUGUUGCAUGACAUUUACUUAAAAGGUGCAAUUGCAUCACUACCAGAUGGACCUGCGUUGUAUUAGCUAGUUGGUGGGGUAACGGGUUACCAAGGCGACGAUACAUAGCCGACCUGAGAGGGUGAUCGGCCACACUGGGACUGAGACACGGCCCAGACUCCUACGGGAGGCAGCAGUAGGGAAUCUUCGGCAAUGGACGGAAGUCUGACCGAGCAACGCCGCGUGAGUGAAGAAGGUUUUCGGAUCGUAAAGCUCUGUUGUAAGAGAAGAACGAGUGUGAGAGUGGAAAGUUCACACUGUGACGGUAUCUUACCAGAAAGGGACGGCUAACUACGUG